UACGGAGGGGGCUAGCGUUGUUCGGAAUUACUGGGCGUAAAGCGCACGUAGGCGGCUUUGUAAGUUAGAGGUGAAAGCCCGGGGCUCAACUCCGGAAUUGCCUUUAAGACUGCAUCGCUAGAAUUGUGGAGAGGUAAGUGGAAUUCCGAGUGUAGAGGUGAAAUUCGUAGAUAUUCGGAAGAACACCAGUGGCGAAGGCGACUUACUGGCCCGAUACUGACGCUGAGGCACGAAAGCGUGGGGAGCAAACAGG
This 253-nucleotide ribosomal RNA is filed under the name uncultured bacterium. RNAcentral describes it as "partial 16S ribosomal RNA". It matches the Rfam family "Bacterial small subunit ribosomal RNA", at positions 524 to 776 of the family's 1533-position model. The record is from RNAcentral.